ACCUGGAAGGAAAACAGGGGUGGUUAUAAGGUUUAUUUAUGUCCGGUUGAGUUGUGGCGAAGCGGGAGGCUGGAUGAUGGCUCGUUGCGAGACUGGAGGUUCAACAGUGGCUCGUGGCGUGACAGGAUGGAUCCGUGAGGAACUGUUAUUCAGGAAGGCUGGAGACUCAGGUGACCACUUGUGGUAAUGAUGUCCUGAGAACGAGGCUUAGAACGGGGUUAAACGAGAGCAAAGAUACAUGGACUAAGUAAACUUAGCAACCAGGCUAUGCACCAUCAGGGGCAAUGAACUGGAGAAGAAUACUGGUUCUGGAUCUCUUUAAGAAGGUCUGGAGGCAUGAUGAGGUGAGUGGACACAGCUGAGUCGAAAUCAGGAACCAAGCAGAGAGGGGAGGGGGAAGAGAGCUGCCAGAGGCACCAUGACUAUAUGGACAGCAUUGAAGGAAACAUCAGACGAAAUCAGAAGGAAGAAGACCAUAUUCGUUGGCCGCGUUUGAAGGAGUAGUUGAUUUGGACAGCAUUUGUGGUGGCGCUGUGACGUAAGCGGCCUUCAACUGCAGCCCAGGAGGAACGCAGUCCUCCGGUUUGGACACAGCCAAUGUCAUCUUAUUUAAAAGCAGAUCAGGAACCUUUCCUGCAGCUUGUCAACCAUCAUUUUAAUCUAAAUCUGCCUCGGUUCCUCGUUGUCGUCCAGCGGGCAAAUCAGGAGUUUGUUAGUUUGUUAUUUUGCAGCAACAUUUUGCUCAACUUUUUCAUGUUUUUUGCAGAAAAAUGUAAUCAAAAAUCUGUUUCUAAACGUUGACACCCAAAGUUGCUUCUCCGUCAGCUACAGACGACCAAACAAACAUCCAACUAAUCACCAUAAAUUAUCAUAACUGCAGAGGAGGUGGACCUGACAGAUCAAUUCAGCACAAAAGCUGACCCAGCAACCCCCAGCUUGCAGCAUCCAAGCCGUUGCCAUAACAACUCGCUACAAUAACAGCGCUGAUUCAGAGCCCUGGUGGAACCUCUGACCCAAACUUUUCCCAGCAGCAGAAAUCCUUCAGCAUCCCACCGUGGACACUUUGAGAGCCACGAGGCAGACGGCGAGCGAGGAGCGAGCCUCCAGAAGACGUUCAUCCCUGGGAAACGCUCUGCUCUGGCCGCGAGGAGCUGCAGGAUUUCUGCUUUAAACCGUCCUCAGAGGGGCUCCGUCACACUCCCAACACUUUCAAAUUACCUCUCCUGGAAAAGAAAAAAGAGUGUUUAAAGAAAGAAAAGCCUCACCUUGGAGGCACUAACCGAGUCAGGCUUCAUUACUCCCCCCGUCUGCCCCUCUGCUUUUCUUCAUUCCGUCUUUCUGUGAAGCGUGAAACCUCGUCACUCUGCAGGUUGUCGUAUGAGCCUCGAGGGAACUGCAAGACACACCUCCCCUUAAGAUGCAACCCCCCCAUACAACCCUCCACGGACUAGGACAACCCAAAAACCUGGAUGGAUGGACACAUGUGACUGAGUUUUCUGUUGGAGCUUCAUCUCAAUAAAAGUCAAACCAGCAGAAACCAGCAGUCCUGGUGGUUGAGGAGCCGCCAUCAUCCGUGAGGAGCAAACAAGGAGGCGUCCUUCAACGGGACAGGCGCGCAAACAAGCGCUCGCCGCCAUCUGAAAGGGAAGGGACUUUCAUUAAAGUCCUGCACAAUAAAUAAGAGAAGAAACACGAUUGAUCACUGAAGCAGCAAUUUUUCUUCCUCCUCCUCAUUUCUGCAGCUCUUCAUCAUCACUGAUGUGUGUCAGCAGGUUCAAUACCCACAAGGCGUCGUCAUGGCGCCACCUGACCCGACUAAUCCCAUUUAAAAGCCAUUACACAAAUAGAUUAAAAAAAGGUCGUUACUAAUAUAUUAGACGUGUCAAUGUCGCUCUAAAUUCACCACAUAUCAGAGAAGUCGUUAAGAAAUCUGGGUCAGCGCGGACCCACGCCCCCCACCACCCUCACACCCGUUAUUAAUGUCAUUCAGAAGUGAGAGUGACAGUCCAGAAUGACUGAAGCUGGAUCCGCGUGUGUGUGAUGGAUGAAGUCAGGUAAGCGUGGAGCCCCGCCCACUCGCUCUGCUAACUGUGAUGUGAAACUCCACGGUGGGGGGUUUGGGGGCGUACAACCUGAAGUAGAUCCUGAUCUGAU
This is a non-coding RNA of Oryzias latipes (Japanese medaka), 2154 nucleotides long. NCBI's taxonomy places the organism in Eukaryota, Metazoa, Chordata, Actinopteri, Beloniformes, Adrianichthyidae. The record is from RefSeq and is a predicted model, not a curated record.